This 746-nucleotide long non-coding RNA is filed under the name Olea europaea subsp. europaea. The record is from RNAcentral. Lineage: Eukaryota; Viridiplantae; Streptophyta; Magnoliopsida; Lamiales; Oleaceae.
AUCACAAUUUAUUUUUUUCAUUUUUCGCAUAUUAUUUAUUGAUUACAAAUUAAUCAAUUUAAUGAUUACAAUCAACCAAAUAAUUUGUGAUCAUCACUAACACUUGCGACCACCAACGUCGCUAGUAGCUACCAUCGCCACCAACAAGUUUCAAGAUCGUAGGCACAACAUUCGAUACCCAACACACCAACAAAAUCACCACCACAACCACCAACAAACCACCACCACUAUUGCCACCAACAAGAUCCAAGAAAAUCGCCGCACAAAAAACCAACAAAUUAGAUUCGAAAUAGAAACAAGAUCCAAGAAAGUUGCCUCCUAAAAAACCAACAAAUCAGAUCUAAAAAUAGAUACAACAGAGAAGAGAUGAGAGGAAGGAAAGCGACGUCGUUGGAUUAGAGAGGGGGUGACGGGAUCGCGACAGCGACAUCCCUUAACUUCGACCGCUUCGAGUGGUUUCACUCCGAAACUCUCAGAUCAGUUGGCAGUGGAGAGAGAGGGUGAGAGAAUUGGAUUUCCAACAAUUGACAGAUACAAUGGGAGCAGGUAGAUAUAGAUACCGGAGAGGAAGGAGAGCUGCGCAUUUGAUUAGAGAGGGGUGAUGGGUCGUAGACGACGACACCACUUUAUUCCGACGGCUUAGUGUGGUUUCACUUCGACGAUCUCAAAUCGGUUGGUGUCGGAGAAAGAGACAGAGUGAGAGGUGAGAAUGGAUAGAGAGAGAGAGAGAGAAGUAGAAAUAAUUU